GAUGAACGCUAGCUACAGGCUUAACACAUGCAAGUCGAGGGACCGGCGCACGGGUGAGUCACACGUAUCCAACCUGCCCUUUACUCGGGGAUAGCCUUCCGGAAGAAAGAUUAAUACCCGCUAUAAAGGAUGGGGAUGCGUUCCCUUAGGUUGUUGGUGAGGUAAUGGCCCACCAAGCCUUCGAUGGGUAGGGGUUCGGAGAGGAAGGUCCCCACGAUUGGAACUGAGACACGUGCGAAACUCCUACGGAAGGCAGCAGUGAUGAAGAUUGGUUAAUGGGCGGUAGCCUGAACCAGCCAAGUAGCGUGAAUGAUGAAGGCUUAUGGGUCAUAAACUGCUUAUAUAUAAGAAUAGGUAUUAUAUGAAUAAGGAUCGGCUAACUCCGUGCCAGCAGCCGCGGUAAUAC
Molecule: ribosomal RNA, 406 nt
Filed under: uncultured bacterium
Lineage: Bacteria
Description: partial 16S ribosomal RNA
Rfam family: Bacterial small subunit ribosomal RNA
Source: RNAcentral